This 369-nucleotide ribosomal RNA is filed under the name uncultured eukaryote. Its description in RNAcentral is "partial 18S ribosomal RNA". It matches the Rfam family "Eukaryotic small subunit ribosomal RNA", at positions 592 to 976 of the family's 1831-position model. The record is from RNAcentral.
CAAUAGCGUAUAUUAAAGUUGUUGCAGUUAAAAAGCUCGUAGUUGAAUUUCUGUCAGGAGUGACCGGGCCUUUGGAUGAACUUCCAUUGUUUUUUGCUCUGUUUGUCAUCUCUAGACAUCCUAAAUUACAUUUCUUGUAAUUUUCUUUUACUGUUAGCAAAAUAGAGUGUUCCAAGCAAAGCGUAGUUUUGAAUACAUUAGAAUGGAAUAAUAAGAUAGGACUUUGGUGCUAUUUUGUUGGUUUGCACACCAAGGUAAUGAUUAAUAGGGACAGUUGGGGGUAUUCGUAUUUAAUUGUCAGAGGUGAAAUUCUUGGAUUUAUGAAAGACGAACUACUGCGAAAGCAUUUACCAAGGAUGUUUNCAUUAA